Molecule: ribosomal RNA, 301 nt
Filed under: uncultured bacterium
Lineage: Bacteria
Description: partial 16S ribosomal RNA
Rfam family: Bacterial small subunit ribosomal RNA
Source: RNAcentral
CAGCCGCCACGGGAACACGGAGGGAGCUAGCGUUGUUCGGAAUUACUGGGCGUAAAACGCACGUAGGCGGUUAUUCAAGUCAGAGGUGAAAGCCCGGGGCUCAACCCCGGAACUGCCUUUGAAACUAGAUGACUAGAAUCUUGGAGAGGUCAGUGGAAUUCCGAGUGUAGAGGUGAAAUUCGUAGAUAUUCGGAAGAACACCAGUGGCGAAGGCGACUGACUGGACAAGUAUUGACGCUGAGGUGCGAAAGCGUGGGGAGCGAACAGGAUUAGAUACCCGCGUAGUCCCUGUCUCUUAUAC